RNAcentral lists this ribosomal RNA (435 nucleotides) under uncultured bacterium. RNAcentral describes it as "partial 16S ribosomal RNA". It matches the Rfam family "Bacterial small subunit ribosomal RNA", at positions 29 to 507 of the family's 1533-position model. The record is from RNAcentral.
AGCGAACGCUGGCGGCAGGCUUAACACAUGCAAGUCGAGCGGGCACUGUCGGGUUUUUUCGGCGGACGGGUGGGUAACGCGUGGGAACGUGCCCGCUGGUUCGGAAUAACUCAGGGAAACUUGAGCUAAUACCGGAUACGCCCUUUUGGGGAAAGGCUUGCUGCCGGAGGAUCGGCCCGCGUCUGAUUAGCUAGUUGGGGAGGUAACGGCUCACCAAGGCGACGAUCAGUAGCUGGUCUGAGAGGAGGAUCAGCCACACUGGGACUGAGACACGGCCCAGACUCCUACGGGAGGAAGCAGUGGGGAAUAUUGGACAAUGGGCGCAAGCCUGAUCCAGCCAUGCCGCGUGAGUGACGAAGGCCUUAGGGUUGUAAAGCUCUUUUAUCCGGGACGAUAAUGACGGUACCGGAGGAAUAAGCCCCGGCUAACUUCGUG